UUACGCCUACGGGGGGCAGCAGUGAGGAAUAUUGGUCAAUGGCCGGGAGCCUGAACCAGCCAAGUCGCGUGAGGGAUGACGGCCCUAUGGGUUGUAAACCUCUUUUGCCGGGGAGCAAAGUGCCGCACGUGUGCGGUUUGGAGAGUACCCGGAGAAAAAGCAUCGGCUAACUCCGUGCCAGCAGCCGCGGUAAUACGGAGGAUGCGAGCGUUAUCCGGAUUUAUUGGGUUUAAAGGGUGCGUAGGCGGAAUGCCAAGUCAGCGGUAAAAUCGCGGGGCUCAACCUCGCUCGGCCGUUGAAACUGG
RNAcentral lists this ribosomal RNA (305 nucleotides) under uncultured bacterium. RNAcentral's name for it is "bacterial SSU rRNA". It matches the Rfam family "Bacterial small subunit ribosomal RNA", at positions 333 to 636 of the family's 1533-position model. The record is from RNAcentral.